CGGAGGGUGCAAGCGUUAUCCGGAUUCACUGGGUUUAAAGGGUGCGUAGGUGGACUGGUAAGUCCGUGGUGAAAUCCCUGAGCUUAACUUGGGAACUGCCAUUGAUACUAUUAGUCUUGAAUAUCGUGGAGGUAAGCGGAAUAUGUCAUGUAGCGGUGAAAUGCUUAGAUAUGACAUAGAACACCAAUUGCGAAGGCAGCUUGCUACACGGUCAUUGACACUGAGGCACGAAAGCGUGGGGAGACAAACAGGAUU
RNAcentral lists this ribosomal RNA (255 nucleotides) under uncultured bacterium. Its description in RNAcentral is "partial 16S ribosomal RNA". It matches the Rfam family "Bacterial small subunit ribosomal RNA", at positions 526 to 779 of the family's 1533-position model. The record is from RNAcentral.